This 950-nucleotide ribosomal RNA is filed under the name Microbacterium sp. RNAcentral describes it as "bacterial SSU rRNA". It matches the Rfam family "Bacterial small subunit ribosomal RNA", at positions 60 to 1019 of the family's 1533-position model. The record is from RNAcentral. Lineage: Bacteria; Bacillati; Actinomycetota; Actinomycetes; Micrococcales; Microbacteriaceae.
AGUCGAACGGUGAAGCAGAGCUUGCUCUGUGGAUCAGUGGCGAACGGGUGAGUAACACGUGAGCAAUCUGCCCCUGACUCUGGGAUAAGCGCUGGAAACGGCGUCUAAUACCGGAUAUGAGCUGCGACCGCAUGGUCGGCAGUUGGAAAGAAUUUCGGUCAGGGAUGAGCUCGCGGCCUAUCAGCUUGUUGGUGAGGUAAUGGCUCACCAAGGCGUCGACGGGUAGCCGGCCUGAGAGGGUGACCGGCCACACUGGGACUGAGACACGGCCCAGACUCCUACGGGAGGCAGCAGUGGGGAAUAUUGCACAAUGGGCGCAAGCCUGAUGCAGCAACGCCGCGUGAGGGAUGACGGCCUUCGGGUUGUAAACCUCUUUUAGCAGGGAAGAAGCGAAAGUGACGGUACCUGCAGAAAAAGCGCCGGCUAACUACGUGCCAGCAGCCGCGGUAAUACGUAGGGCGCAAGCGUUAUCCGGAAUUAUUGGGCGUAAAGAGCUCGUAGGCGGUCUGUCGCGUCUGCUGUGAAAACCCGAGGCUCAACCUCGGGCCUGCAGUGGGUACGGGCAGACUAGAGUGCGGUAGGGGAGAUUGGAAUUCCUGGUGUAGCGGUGGAAUGCGCAGAUAUCAGGAGGAACACCGAUGGCGAAGGCAGAUCUCUGGGCCGUAACUGACGCUGAGGAGCGAAAGGGUGGGGAGCAAACAGGCUUAGAUACCCUGGUAGUCCACCCCGUAAACGUUGGGAACUAGUUGUGGGGUCCAUUCCACGGAUUCCGUGACGCAGCUAACGCAUUAAGUUCCCCGCCUGGGGAGUACGGCCGCAAGGCUAAAACUCAAAGGAAUUGACGGGGACCCGCACAAGCGGCGGAGCAUGCGGAUUAAUUCGAUGCAACGCGAAGAACCUUACCAAAGGCUUGACAUAUAGAGGAAACGUCUGGAAACAGUCGCCCCGCA